UACGAAGGGGGCUAGCGUUGUUCGGAAUUACUGGGCGUAAAGGGCGCGUAGGCUGUGCUGUAAGUCAGGCGUGAAAGCCCCGGGCUCAACCUGGGAAUUGCGCUUGAUACUGCGGCGCUGGAAGGUGGGAGAGGAUGGCGGAAUUCCCAGUGUAGAGGUGAAAUUCGUAGAUAUUGGGAAGAACACCGGUGGCGAAGGCGGCCAUCUGGACCGCAACUGACGCUGAGGCGCGAAAGCGUGGGGAGCAAACAGG
This 253-nucleotide ribosomal RNA is filed under the name uncultured bacterium. RNAcentral describes it as "partial 16S ribosomal RNA". It matches the Rfam family "Bacterial small subunit ribosomal RNA", at positions 524 to 776 of the family's 1533-position model. The record is from RNAcentral.